This 490-nucleotide ribosomal RNA is filed under the name Microbacterium sp. EECC-318. Its description in RNAcentral is "bacterial SSU rRNA". It matches the Rfam family "Bacterial small subunit ribosomal RNA", at positions 112 to 615 of the family's 1533-position model. The record is from RNAcentral. Lineage: Bacteria; Bacillati; Actinomycetota; Actinomycetes; Micrococcales; Microbacteriaceae.
UACACGUGAGCAACCUGCCCCUCACUCUGGGAUAAGCGCUGGAAACGGCGUCUAAUACUGGAUACGAGUCGCAACCGCAUGGUUAGUGACUGGAAAGAUUUUUUGGUGGGGGAUGGGCUCGCGGCCUAUCAGCUUGUUGGUGAGGUAAUGGCUCACCAAGGCGUCGACGGGUAGCCGGCCUGAGAGGGUGACCGGCCACACUGGGACUGAGACACGGCCCAGACUCCUACGGGAGGCAGCAGUGGGGAAUAUUGCACAAUGGGCGGAAGCCUGAUGCAGCAACGCCGCGUGAGGGAUGACGGCCUUCGGGUUGUAAACCUCUUUUAGCAGGGAAGAAGCGAAAGUGACGGUACCUGCAGAAAAAGCACCGGCUAACUACGUGCCAGCAGCCGCGGUAAUACGUAGGGUGCAAGCGUUAUCCGGAAUUAUUGGGCGUAAAGAGCUCGUAGGCGGUUUGUCGCGUCUGCUGUGAAAUCCCGAGGCUCAACCU